This 54-nucleotide microRNA precursor is filed under the name Theropithecus gelada (gelada). RNAcentral's name for it is "miRNA (ENSTGEG00000027640.1)". The record is from RNAcentral. Lineage: Eukaryota; Metazoa; Chordata; Mammalia; Primates; Cercopithecidae.
GUAGGCCUUUAGAUCAUCUAAAGAGUAUUCAACAUUAGAUGAGCUAAAGGCCUA